AGCUGGAGAAACUUCACAGCUCAACCAGAUUUGUUGCGUUACUCAAUGCAUUUGCUAACGAGAUACAAGGAUGUGAUGCGCAAUUAAGAGAUAGUCCAAGCAUGUGGCAGGUUGAAGCUCGCAACACCAGUUUGACUGUACCACCUUCACCAGGAAGGAGUGAGAUUCUUCGAAGGUUGAGUGAUUUGAAGGCUCACCCUUUAAGCCCAAGACUUGCGCCAGAAGACGCCGUAAACUACGACAAGGAGAAAGCCAAAACGAGAGAGGACCUUCACCACAGGCAGGGGACAAGACUACCACUGUCGUCAAACGAUUCUAGCAAGAGUAGCUCCACCUCAGUUAGCAAGGAGUACCCGGUUUUAACCCAGUCGCAAUGCAAGCUCAGUGGGAACGCUCUCGGAGGGAU
Molecule: long non-coding RNA, 406 nt
Filed under: Physcomitrium patens
Lineage: Eukaryota; Viridiplantae; Streptophyta; Bryopsida; Funariales; Funariaceae
Description: long non-coding RNA (PPAT_LNC014823)
Source: RNAcentral